UACAGAGGGGGCAAGCGUUGUUCGGAAUUACUGGGCGUAAAGGGCGCGUAGGCGGCCUGCUAAGUCGAACGUGAAAUCCCUGGGCUCAACCCAGGAACUGCGUCCGAUACUGGUUGGCUUGAAUCCGGGAGAGGGACGUGGAAUUCCAGGUGUAGCGGUGAAAUGCGUAGAUAUCUGGAGGAACACCGGUGGCGAAGGCGACGUCCUGGACCGGCAUUGACGCUGAGGCGCGAAAGCUAGGGGAGCGAACAGG
Molecule: ribosomal RNA, 253 nt
Filed under: uncultured bacterium
Lineage: Bacteria
Description: partial 16S ribosomal RNA
Rfam family: Bacterial small subunit ribosomal RNA
Source: RNAcentral